UAGGGAAUCUUCGGCAAUGGGGGGAACCCUGACCGAGCAACGCCGCGUGAGUGAAGAAGGUUUUCGGAUCGUAAAGCUCUGUUGUUAAGGAAGAACGAGUGUGAGAAUGGAAAGUUCAUACUGUGACGGUACUUAACCAGAAAGGGACGGCUAACUACGUGCCAGCAGCCGCGGUAAUACGUAGGUCCCGAGCGUUGUCCGGAUUUAUUGGGCGUAAAGCGAGCGCAGGCGGUUAGAUAAGUCUGAAGUUAAAGGCAGUGGCUCAACCAUUGUAGGCUUUGGAAACUGUUUAACUUGAGUGCAGAAGGGGAGAGUGGAAUUCCAUGUGUAGCGGUGAGAUGCGUAGAUAUAUGGAGGAACACCGGUGGCGAAAGCGGCUCUCUGGUCUGUAACUGACGCUGAGGCUCGAAAGCGUGGGGAACGAACAGG
RNAcentral lists this ribosomal RNA (429 nucleotides) under Bacteroidota bacterium. Its description in RNAcentral is "Bacteroidetes bacterium partial 16S ribosomal RNA". It matches the Rfam family "Bacterial small subunit ribosomal RNA", at positions 355 to 776 of the family's 1533-position model. Lineage: Bacteria; Pseudomonadati; Bacteroidota. The record is from RNAcentral.